UGAAGCCACCUGGUCCUGCUCACUGUCA
This 28-nucleotide non-coding RNA is filed under the name Mus musculus (house mouse). Lineage: Eukaryota; Metazoa; Chordata; Mammalia; Rodentia; Muridae. The record is from RNAcentral.